UGAAUUGACGGGGCCGCACAAGCGGUGGAGCAUGUGGUUAAUUCGAUGAUACGCGAAGACCUUACCGGGUUGACAUGCAGGUGAUCGCCGUUGAAAGACGGUUCCUCUUCGGAGGCACCUGCACAGGUGCUGCAUGGCUGUCGUCAGCUCGUGUCGUGAGAUGUUGGGUUAAGUCCCGCAACGAGCGCAACCCUUAUCCCCAGUUGCCAUCAGGUAAAGCUGGGAACUCUGGGGAGACUGCCGGUGAUAAACCGGAGGAAGGCGGGGAUGACGUCAAGUCCUCAUGGCCCUUACAUCCCGGGCUACACACGUGCUACAAUGGCAGGUACAGAGGGCUGCGAAGCCGCGAGGUGGAGCGAAUCCCAGAAAACCUGUCUCAGUCCGGAUUGAAGUCUGCAACUCGACUUCAUGAAGGCGGAAUCGCUAGUAACCGCGAAUCAGCAGGUCCGCGGUCGAAUACGUUCCCGGGCCUU
Molecule: ribosomal RNA, 473 nt
Filed under: uncultured Latescibacterota bacterium
Lineage: Bacteria; Pseudomonadati; Candidatus Latescibacterota
Description: bacterial SSU rRNA
Rfam family: Bacterial small subunit ribosomal RNA
Source: RNAcentral